CAUACAAGACAAGUUAAGGUAGGAAAGCAGAGCGGUACAAAACUGUGUUGAGUGUAAAGUUGUCAGUAGGGGGGGUAACAGAGGGCUGUGAAUGAGCCCUGUCACUGUGAUCAGGCUCCUUCUAGUCCACCAACUUAGUGUUGAUGAAGACUAAACAGAGACUUCACAGCCUUCGUUAUACUUGCUGUAGCUCACAGCGACUCAACACUGCAGAUAUGACGCCUCUGCUCAUCUCAGUGCUGCUGGCUGCUAUGUGCCUUGAAUGCAGAGCACAAAAAGACAACGUGCUGCAACCAAAAAGAGAUGUGACUGCUACUGAAGGAGAGGCAGUAACACUUGACUGUCUAUAUAACAGCAGUUCCGCGAGUAAUUAUCUCUUCUGGUACAAACAGGAUGGAAACAACAGCCCCAAGUUCAUCCUGAGGCGCUUUAAACUGGAUGGAGGGAUCACAGCCGAUGAGUUCAGGGAGAGAUUUUCAUCCACUCUGAAUUCCGCCUCAAGAUCAGUUCCUCUGAAGAUCCAGAAGCUUCAGCUGUCUGACUCUGCUGUGUACUACUGUGCUUUGCAGCCCACAGUGACAGGAAACACCAGAACUCUGUACAAAAACCUUUGGAGCAAAGACAACAGAAUACUCCACAACAUC
Xiphias gladius (swordfish) is the source of this 644-nucleotide non-coding RNA. Lineage: Eukaryota; Metazoa; Chordata; Actinopteri; Istiophoriformes; Xiphiidae. The record is from the annotation of a RefSeq genome assembly.